Molecule: ribosomal RNA, 506 nt
Filed under: uncultured bacterium
Lineage: Bacteria
Description: partial 16S ribosomal RNA
Rfam family: Bacterial small subunit ribosomal RNA
Source: RNAcentral
AUUGAACGCUGGCGGCAGGCUUAACACAUGCAAGUCGAGCGGUAACAGAGAGAAGCUUGCUUCUCUGCUGACGAGCGGCGGACGGGUGAGUAAUGCCUAGGAAUCUGCCUAGUAGUGGGGGAUAACUUGCCGAAAGGUAAGCUAAUACCGCAUACGUCCUACGGGAGAAAGGAGGGGACCUUCGGGCCUUUCGCUAUUAGAUGAGCCUAGGUCGGAUUAGUUAGUUGGUGAGGUAAUGGCUCACCAAGACCGCGAUCCGUAACUGGUCUGAGAGGAUGAUCAGUCACACGGGAACUGAGACACGGUCCAGACUCCUACGGGAGGCAGCAGUGGGGAAGAUUGGACAAUGGGGGGAACCCUGAGCCAGCCUUGCCGCGUGUGUGAAGAAGGUCUUAGGAUUGUAAAGCACUUUAAGUUGGGAGGAAGAGCAGUUAACUAAUAUUUGACUGUUUUGACGUUACCGACAGAAUAAGCACCGGCUAACUUCGUGCCAGCCGCCGCCGUAA